ACAAGAUCAUUGGAAACCUCGUGCUUUUCACAAGGCAUCUUCUCUAUGACAUGAAAGACGAAGAGCCACAUGCCAGCACCAGUGUCUUCCUGCACUUGGACACAAGUCUCCACAAAACCAACCACAUCCAAGAGGGUCCGAAUUUGAACACAACGUGCUGAGACAGUGAUGCUGGAGGAAGAGGGAUCACUACUGGAAGAAGAAACAAAGAGGAACACAGAUGAAAGUCAAGUAGCACCUGGAAAAUGACGAUGAGGAGUCCCAGCCCUCGCUCUGUGCAGCUAUCUGCAGCCUCAGCCUCUGAAAGGCACACAGAGCCCCUUCCAACCAGCAAGAGAAACCUAAACUGGAGUUAUUUUCUGAAAUUCCUGCCUUUUUGAACACACUCUGCAUCACCAAGUCCCCUGUAAACCUCCAUCCAGGCUGCACUGAGAGGAGAGGGCUCUGCAUUUGACUGGCCUUUGACAACAGCACAAAUCACCAUCUACAAAGACAAAGGAUCUCAUUUCCACCUUCUACCUUUUA
This is a long non-coding RNA of Corvus hawaiiensis (hawaiian crow), 525 nucleotides long. RefSeq lists it as uncharacterized. The transcript has 3 exons. Lineage: Eukaryota; Metazoa; Chordata; Aves; Passeriformes; Corvidae. The record is from RefSeq and is a predicted model, not a curated record.